RNAcentral lists this ribosomal RNA (436 nucleotides) under bacterium enrichment culture DGGE gel band A4. RNAcentral's name for it is "bacterial SSU rRNA". It matches the Rfam family "Bacterial small subunit ribosomal RNA", at positions 1 to 432 of the family's 1533-position model. The record is from RNAcentral.
UAGAGUGUGNNNCNGGCUCAGGACGAACGCNGGCGGUAUGCUUAACACAUGCAAGUCGAACGAGACAAAAGAGAAGUGCUUGCACGGAUCUUUUAGAAAGUGGCGAACGGGUGAGUAACGCGUGGGUAACCUACCCUAUGGAAAGGAAUAGCCUCGGGAAACUGGGAGUAAUGCCUUAUAAGAUAUAUUUGUCGCAUGGCAGAUGUAUUAAAUGCUCCGGUGCCAUAGGAGGGGCCCGCGUCCCAUUAGCUAGUUGGUGAGAUAACAGCUCACCAAGGCGACGAUGGGUAACCGGUUUGAGAGGGCGAACGGUCACACUGAACUGAGACACGGCCCAGACUCNUACGGGAGGCAGCAGUGGGGAAUAUUGCGCAAUGGGGGAAACCCGGACGCAGCAAUACCGCUUGAGAGAAGAAGGUUUUCGGAUAGUAAAGAU